RNAcentral lists this ribosomal RNA (200 nucleotides) under uncultured bacterium. RNAcentral describes it as "partial 16S ribosomal RNA". It matches the Rfam family "Bacterial small subunit ribosomal RNA", at positions 8 to 203 of the family's 1533-position model. The record is from RNAcentral.
AGAGUUUGAUCCUGGCUCAGGACGAACGCUGGCGGCGUGCCUAAUACAUGCAAGUCGAGCGGAUCUUGAGGGGCUUGCCCCUCAAGAUUAGCGGCGGACGGGUGAGUAACACGUGGGCAACCUGCCUGUAAGACUGGGAUAACACCGGGAAACCGGUGCUAAUACUGGGAUAAUUCUUCUCUUCACAUGAAGGGAAGCUG